AGAUCAGUCCUAAUUCGUAAUUCCAUUACUUUCCUCUGUUUCUUCUCUCCAUCUCAUCAAAGUUCAAACCUCCAUCUUUAUCCUUAUCAAGCUUCGUUUCACCCAGAACUUCACCGUCGACCAUAAAUCAUUGUAGUUUCGUUCACACCUCCAUCUCCACCAAACCCUAGUUCCUUUUUUUCGACCCAGCACAUCCAUGAACCCUAAAUCUCGUGAUUUCUCUCCCAACCCAGCAAGAACCCUAAAAUUUUGCUUUCAACAACUCUGAAUCCCUCACUCCCUUCUACGUCUUUUUGUGUGUAUUUUAGGUUCGAAGAAAGGCAUACCUGGAAAGGCUUUUGGGAAAUUCUGGUUGCUUUACAGGAGCUCAAGGAAGGAAGAGGGUUUAUGGAAGGAUCUCAAUUCACAAGGUGGCAAUGAAGAUGUAAAGGGGAAUUUUUUUUUACGAUUUCUUAAUUUCUUUUUUUAGAAGUAUAAUUGGUUUUAUUAGGUUUGGUAUUAGUUAAUCUUGUAAUAGUUUCAUGAUUCAAUCCCUAGUCUGUUAUUAUGAUAUAUUAUUAUUGCUGCAUAUAGCCUACCAAUUGUUAUGUGCAAAUAUUUGAAAUCAAAUGACUUAUUUACACUACUUUUGGUGUUGUUUUUUCUACUGUGUAAUUGUGGUUUUGGAAAAAUUUACCUUCUUGGCUGCAGACUUAGGUGACAGAAGAAUGAUUUUCUUUUGUUGAUUAAACAAAAAAGUAUUGAGCAUUUUGAAGCAACAUCACCAAAAUUUUGUCAUGACGGGUAUCUCUUGUUAGUGCAUUAAAAUUCACCAAUAUGUGAUAAUGCUAUGAGUAAGAACAUUAAAUCUGAUUUCUAUAUUGAGUUAUAAAUUCAUGAUUGGUAUAUUGAUUUGAUCUUGGUAUUUUUGUACUUGAAUCUGGCUUGAUAGUUAACAAAGUUAACAUGUACUAAGGCUUGAUGCAUGAUGUAUCCAACAAUCUAUUAAUUGUUUGAUUGCUAAAAGAGGAAAAUAAUUUGCUUUUGUUAGUAUAAAAACUCAGACCGGGUACAUGAGUGCCUAUGGAGAUUUUGCACAAAAUUUGUGCUUGGACUAGUGUGUCAUGAACUCAGGUAUUAACAAUCAUGAAAUCAGUGGUUUAGUGAUCGAGAAUUCUUAAAUUUGAAUUUUCUUGUGAUAUACUCGCAAAAGUUUGAAGAUUAGUUUGAGAAUAUGAUUGACAUUCUAUUUUGGUUGUGUGUGUGUGUGUGUAUCCUUGAUAACAAGUAAACUAAGGGGAAGGAAGGAAGGUAAAACUGUUGUGGUGGAGGAGACGAUGACUGGUCCGUGUUUAUGAAGUUCCAGCCAUUAAGGUUUGAACACUUAGGUUUAUCACUUACCAAGUUGGGAAAGGUAUCAUCUCAAUCUUGAUUUCUUUUUAUGGAUUAUUUACCACUUACCAAAACAUUUCUUUUCUUUGGAUCUCUGUUUUUUUUUUUUUUGAAUUCACAUACAAAUUCUAGGGGAAGCAAUUUAGAACAUUUGUUGCCUUGUCGAGUUGUCUGCUUUAUGCAAUGAUUCUCAUGCUGUUUGUUUUUACAAUUUGACUAUAACUUAUAAGUAGCAUUAGUUUAUGAUCUAUUCAAGGCUGGUAUGAUUAAAGAAACAACAUUUGGAACAACUAAACACUAAAUAUUAUAGGUUGAGCAUACUCAAGGGUUGUAACAAUCGUCAUUUGUUUUACUGGUUUACACUAAAUAUUUGAAGUUCACAAUCACUAAGCUCUAGCUUCAGAAAUUUUUUUGUCUUAUUUCUUACACAUUGCUUGAUGAACCAUAAUUUUAAUGAUCAUUUCUAUGUUUUAAUGCAUUUCUGAAAUAGAAAUAUCAAUGUAUGUACUUCUGCACCCUUUCAAAUUUUUAUUUAUUUACUUCAUCUUAGAAAUAUCAAUGCAUGUCGAAUAACUAAUUGGAAAAAGUUUGUUGUCAAUGAGAGGUAUUUUGUCAUUCAAAAAUAGCUCUUAGUCUAAUAGACAUAUGAAAACAAAUGAGUAUAUGCCAACAAUGGUGGUUGUUGGCAAGACAAAAGCUGCUAACAUUAUGCAUGCAAGGUUAUCAAUGGUGUCUUUCAUUGAUGCUUCUACUCUUCAAUUGAAAGAUCAAGGAUGUGAUUUUGGCUUAUCAAUGGUGUCUUUUUUAUCUUUAGUUAGUUUUGUGAUUUUUCCAUCUCAUUGCUUAUCAAUGCUAAGGAAUGCACUUAUAUGCUUUGUAAUUCUUAUAUUGAUUAGUUUAAAUGCAUGUAAAUUGUAUUUGGAUUUGAAGAUAUAUGUUGUAUACUUGUAUUCUAGUAAAUUGUAAUUAGAUUUGAGUUGUUUAUAUUUUGUUUAUGAUCAAUAAAAUG
Trifolium pratense (red clover) is the source of this 2380-nucleotide long non-coding RNA. RefSeq lists it as uncharacterized. The record is from RefSeq and is a predicted model, not a curated record. NCBI's taxonomy places the organism in Eukaryota, Viridiplantae, Streptophyta, Magnoliopsida, Fabales, Fabaceae. The transcript is spliced from 3 exons.